Molecule: long non-coding RNA, 291 nt
Filed under: Bos taurus (domestic cattle)
Lineage: Eukaryota; Metazoa; Chordata; Mammalia; Artiodactyla; Bovidae
Description: long non-coding RNA NONBTAT024150
Source: RNAcentral
CCUGGAAGUUUUAAUAAUCAUCAUCCGAAGUGGUUUGGCCUGGCCAUGCCUUGAGGCAUGGUGGGUGGGGUCUGGAGCCAGAGAAGACAUCUUCUGCAGAUCAGUAAAGGGCUGACACAAGGAACCUCAGAUACAGCUGCUUUAUUAAGAUUGGGCCUCUUCUCAUUUAUGUAAGAAUGUAAGUAGUCCCAAAUAGUAAAGCUCACGAUGCAGGUUUAUUAAACAGAAGCAUAACUGUGGCAGGUGUGGGCACUGAGGCUCCCUGCUCAAGGCAUGACUCACUGUGUGAAC